CAUCCUUGAUUCUCAUGUACUAUCUGCAUGAACAUCCAAAGGGAAAACAGUGCUUGCAGAUCAACAAUAUCAGCAUGUCGAUUAAACUCUUGCAAUCCUUGAUUACUAUGAAUCCAAAAAAUUUCAAGAUAGCAGCACCUACCUUAGGCAAACACAUGAAACACAAUUAAGAGUCUACUAUUGAGGCCAAUACAACAGGAUGUUUGGUUUUGGCAUAACAUUUACAGGUAGCAG
Molecule: unclassified non-coding RNA, 234 nt
Filed under: Hevea brasiliensis (rubber tree)
Lineage: Eukaryota; Viridiplantae; Streptophyta; Magnoliopsida; Malpighiales; Euphorbiaceae
Source: RNAcentral